AGCGAGGGUCAGAGACUUGGCCAGUGCCACACUGGGUGUAACCAGAGGGGCUGCCAUUUGGAUGGAGCCUGACUUUAGAGGUUAAGGGCUCCACUUCCCCAGGUUACCCUACUCCUGGGAUCCAAAGAGGACCUCAGGAUCCCGGCGCUCAGAGCUGGAUCCUGCCGGUUUCAAACCUCACUGCACUGCUGAGGAGCCCAGGAUCUGGGAAGCCAUGGCCACGUCCCUGGGCAGACGCAGGUCUAGAGACAUCUUCCGGACACCCGGACACCCCGGGGCACUGAUACCUCGGCUUCCCCCUCGACGCUAUUUCUUAUCCGUCCUCCCCCACCCAACACCAGCACGGAGCAGGGGAAACCAGGACUUAUCAAGACAAAGAACAAAAGUCAUGGGGGAAAGAAGCCAAGAGCCAUCUCCACUCUGGGGUAGGGCCCUUCAGUUUCGCCCCUUUGAAAUUUCAAAUUCCAGUUUGUGGACAAAGUCCUAACUAUCUCACAAUAUAGGUCCCCAACUGCUGACCAAACUCCAGUCCAGGCAGCCACCUGGCCCGAGGCUGGCCUGGCCUUGCUGCCGCCUUUGGCAGCUCCGAAGACCCCAGGGCAGGAGUCCGGGGCAGCGGGGGUCUAACAGGCCAUCCCUGUGGCCUCAGCCACCCACUGGGACCCUUGCUUGCCAACUGGGAGCACAGUUUCUGCCUGGAGCUGGGAUCUGGUGCCUGCUGACACCAGUGGCAGGGAUCGAACUCAGGACCUUGCGCUUGUGAGGCAGGCACGGUGCCACUGAGCUAAAUCCCCAGCCCUACAUGGUGAAAGUUACUCCUGGAAGGCAGCUGUCAGUCAAAGGACCACAUAUCCCAGACACCUGAGGCCAUGUGACGAAUCCUCAUCAGGGGAAAUCCAGACAUUUACAUGCCAACAUGAGACAGCCACUUUAGGUCCUGGAUGGGUCAAUUGGAGGCUCAAAUGCUAACACAAUGAAGAUUGCAGAGAGAAAGGGCAGAGCCUGGGCCUGGCCACACUGGUGACAGCUGUUGAAGGUCUAUUUAUGAAAUCUCUCCUAGAGGCUUUCAUCCCACAAAUGUAUAGGGAUCCUUUCCUCUGUGCCAGUCACCAUGAGAUCUUUUCAAACAAAGUCCAGAGAAGCCACCAAUGUCCCUGACCUCAUGACAUUUAUGGUCUGGUGAGGUGACCAUCACCAAAAUUCACACUGACAACUAUCUGAUCAGAGCGAUGAUGAGAACUACAAAGCAGAACUGACUCCAGGGGAAGAUCAAGUCUACCCAGUAUGGCCACAUGUGAACAAGAAGUCAAUGUUACCGAGGAUCUGCUUUGGACCAUCCUCUAACUCAGCAACUCUGCUGGAGUAACCUUAGCAGACGGUUACUGUUAUCCCCAGGAGAGGUUUUGCUUUUUCCUGAGACCACUUUUAGCAGAAAGAACCUCUCAGCAGAAUCUCCUUCUUCAUUGUACAGAUGAACAUUGGAGGUUCAGAGAGUGCUACUGACUUUCAAGUCUACAAGGCUCAAGAAAAGGAAGAAAAGGUGGAUCCAGGAUGGUAACUCGGUAGAGUCACAUAGCCACAAUCACACACAAACACACAUGCUGCAGCAGUCGCCCCACUGUCCCGAGACAAAGGUGCUCUUUUUGCACUGAUAGAUGCUGUGAAUCUGGCCACUGGAGCCUUCCUUUCUGCCAUAUCUCUAGCCAGGCCAAGAGGGCCAACAGUUGCCUGUGUCAGAUCCCAUGUCAGAUGAUUUUUUUCCAGUAAUCCUGAGCUUCAAUUUUUUCUUCUGUCCUUGGAGAUAACAAUCUUAUUUCAUUGUGAAAAUUAAAUGAUGUGAUAGGUACAGAGCAUCCAUCCAACCAUCCAUCCAACCAUCCAAUCAUCUGUCCAUCCAUCUGUCCAUCCAUCCAGUGACCGGUCUGUGGUGAGCUGCCUAAGUGGUGGGCACUGCACGGGGACUGGGGGAUAGUCAGGUAACUUCCAGUGUAGGCAGACCUGGGAGACAGCGAGAGACUGUCAGAUUAUGUUGCAGUUACAUCACUCUUUGGGAGGGGCCCUGUGGGGCCUUCUGUUCACCCCUCCUGGCCUAGGCUGAUGACCUGGCUCUCCUCCCACAAGCUGAUUGCUCUUCUCUUUGGGAGCCAGUGAGUCUUCCUCUGGCCACAGAUUCAACCAAAUUUUAUAAUGUAAGCUGAGGAAUACCUAGACUUUAUGCUGUCUCCUCUAUUCCCCUCCCACAGUGAAAUUAGCUUCAUUUUACAGACAGGGAAAUAGAUUCAGAGAGAGGAAAUGACUCCCCUAAGGUCACAUGGCUGAUGGAUGGGAGGUUGCUUGUUCAUUUCAUUUGUUGGCUUCUGUUAUUUUCACUGUACCACAUACUCCUGUCUCGUGGUGGGCAAAAUCAAUGCCCCAGAUUAUCAGAUCAGUCCCUGAUUUCUGUCCUUCACUGGCCAUCCAUCCCCAGAUGAUGAUGCUAUUAUGUAAUAUUUGCAGAGUUCUUACAAUGCGGGUGAUGUUAAGGCUUUACACUCUUUCCAGAAUGACCAUAAGAGAAGAUUCCAUUAUUUUGUCUCUACUUCAGAGAAAGCAAUGGUGGCACAGAACUGUUCAGUAAUAUGACUAACAUCACACAACUAGAACUGAGAUGUUCUGCAUUCCAGAGGCCAAAUUCUGUGUGUGUGAUCUAAAUAUGUUCAUAAAAUGCACUUAGUUUUUUUUAAAACCCAAAAUGUGUCCAAAAAAAGAAAAUUGAACAUUCUCUUGGAUCUCCCUCUCAGAAACCAAACUGUCUGUCACCAGUUUCUUUGUGUCCUCCCAUGGAAUUUUCUAUGCAAAUACAAAUGGAUGUGUACAUACAUGUGUCUAUAUCCGUUUUGUUAUCAGAAACUCUACACAAGUCUUCAGCUUGGUGUUUUCACCUACUGCAGCUUGGAGGUUCUUCCCUACCUGCACACAGAUGGACCUGUUUUCCUCCAACAAUGGCAUAUCAUUCCUCCACAAAUUUCCCUGUCCUCUCUCUACUGAGAGGCAAUUGGGCUACUUCCAGAAUGGGGUUCCCGAAAAUGGCAGAGCUCCAGCCCUUCCUGCCAGUGGGUCAUAGGACACCCCCAGCAAGAGAUCAUUCCGUUUCCGAUGCCUCUCACUGGGCAGUGUUUUAUACCUUUUUUCCUUGGAUUAUCCAGAGCCAAUGGAGGUUCAGAGGGACCAAGCUGAUUCUCCCUGGGGCUUCACUGCUCCAGUCCUGACCCCAGCUAGACUGAGCCCUGGUUAGAUGACCUAGGCCCAGCAUGUUCUGGUAGGCCUUGGUUUGCCUGCCGCAAGAGGUUGCUCCAUCUGGACCCUCAAAUUUUGUGGAAUUUUGGAAAGAAUCCUGGGCUGCAUUUCCAGGAAAGCCUUUUUGCUUAUAAAAGAACCAAGGAUUGCCCCAGGGCUCCUGCAGUCCCUCCCAGCACUUCCCACACCAAACAGGCUUUGUCCUUGUAGCAGACCUUAGCACAGGGGUCAAAUGCCUCCUCCUGGCUUCCAGCCCUUCUAGAGGAGCCUUGGAGGAGGGUCUUUGAGCCCAUCAGAAACACGCUGAAGGUGUCCUGUGGCCUUCGAAACAUGACCAUGGCCCCACCCUGUCCAGUCCCCCUCAUCCCCGGCCUGUGUCCCCACUCACCAUAAGGACCCUCCACUGGGGCCCCGAGGGGCACGUUCACACUGACCAUGGCCAAGCGAGCCCAGCUGGACACCCGGGGGCAUGGAGGAGCCGGAGCUCACAGCCAGCAGCAACGGCACCACCAGAAGCCAGUCCACCAGGAAGGCAGUGAGCGAGGCCAGCUGCCACCACCCGGUUAUCUUAUUGAUUCUUCUAAUCACCCAAGGUGGGUGGAUAUGUUAAAGAGUAACCAGUCACUUAGGGAACCUGUGGCUGGGGAUUGUCGCUAUCGUCAUGGUAACCGAGACUUGGCUAUAUCCGAGGUCCACUCAGGCCCCCGUCCUGCCUUCUGAGGUUAAGGCCACCUGGAGCCAGAUGUACAUGACAUUAGCCCCCCAACUUGAGGAAAGGAACUGAGCAGGAGGGGCUCGGGUGAGAGUCCAAAUUGGGUGGAGUUUUAUGGCUCUGAAGUAUGGGUGUGGCACCAAGCUGGAAAGAGUGGGAAAGCCUAGGGAGGGGUAGAGGAGAAAAAGGGAGAAGUGAGUUUACUGAGUACCUAUGGAUGCUGACUGCUGCCUAUAGGCAUUGUCACAUUUAAAUUAAACCUAGAGAUGAGGAAAUUGGGGCACAAAGAGGAAUGGCUUGCAUGGAGCAUCACAGUGGUUACAGAGAGGAGCCAGAAUUACAGCACCUGGUCUUUCACAUAACAAGUUUAUUGUGCACCUACUAUAUGCUAGGCCCUGUGCUAGACUCCAGUGACAGAGAUAAGCAAAGCAGAGGUCAUCCUGGCACCCUUGGAACGUGUAGACUAACGAAAGAGAUGUACCUUAAUCAGAUCAUCAAAGAUAUUAUUAUUAUGGGGCUGAGGAUGUAGCUCAGUGGUAGAGUGCUUGACUAGCAUGCACAGCACCUGAGGUGGAUCCCUAGCAUCACGCCCGUGCGCGCGCAUGCACACACACACACACACACACACACAGUGCUAUUAUUACAAACUGAUGGGUCCUGUGAGCAAGGGAGCAGCACAGGUCAGACUCCAGGCCUGUGGUUGCUGGUCCUCCCCCAUUCUCAGUGCCACCCGGCUGACACAGCACACCUGCAUUAGAGACCUGCGCUUUCUCUUUUGGAUCUUACACACCUGUGACCUUGCCUUUUCAGUACCAGCCUGUCUGAGCGUUGGAUCUCACAGCACGUUUGGGAAUUCUGAAAUCAAGGUCCUCGUCACAUUCAAGAGAGCUCAAAUGAGAGCAGUAGAACAAAUUUGGAAGUCAGAGGAAUCAGCCGUAGCUCUGCCAUUUUCUUGGUGUGGAGUUCGGUACAUUUCUUUAUAAUAUAAUCCCUCCUCCUGGGUUGUUCCACCUCUACAACAGUUACUGGAUAGAUCCCUCUCUGCUCACCCUCUUUUUCCAGGGCACUUGCACAACCACCUCUGGUCCCGAGUGAUGGACAGGCACAGGCUGUUUCCAAGUUUCCAGUCCUUUGCUCUUGGUUCUCCCUCCUGUGGCCUCUUCCUGACCUCCAUUUACUUCCUCUCCAGUUUAAAGCCCCCAGUCCAUGCUUUUAGUCCCUUUCUUGCUUCUCUCUCGGUUCCUUUGCUGACAAAAUCCCAAGCUGGGAUGAACCAAAGUAUUUUACUUUCUUCAUGUCUGCACCCAGGCAGCCAAUCAGCAUGAGACAGAAACAACAAUCACUUAGAGGGACUCCUGGGACCACCAUAAACUUCUGCUCACCAGCUUCCAACUGCCCAAAACUGCCACCCUCAGUUUCCCUGCUCCUUGUCCUCUUAGUCUCUAUCCAAUCUCAUCUACCCCAUAAUCUUUUCUCUCCUUGAACCUCUUCCUCUCUCAUCCUCAGUCGGAUAAGACUUCCCCUUCCUGGGGCCAGGGAUUUAGCUGAGUGGCACGGCGCCAGCCUUGAAAAUGCAAGGUCCUGAGUUUGAUCCCAGGUACCAAAAAGUAAAAAAAAAUAAAUAAAUAAAAACUUCCCCUUCCUCACAGAGAAAGCCAGGAGCCUAAAACUGAGCGAGCCAGUGAGUGUAGGUAUGAAAGUCUUCAAAAAGUUGAACACCUUACAGAGUUUGAAUGUUAUUGUUAGUGAGUUUGCUGCUGUUGUGCCUUUUUGCGGUGCUGGGGAUGGAACACAGGGCCUUGUAAAUGCUAGGCAAAAACGCUACCCCCUACAGCCUUGGCCCUCAAGUGUUACUGACAGAGAAAAGAAACAGCGCUCUUGCAGUGAAAGUUCCCCUUUCCCUGGAACAGCAGUGUCACAAAUGCAGGUACCAAUUUUAACCCCCUCGUUCCAAAUCCUCACCCCUCCAACUCUGAGUGUCCAAGGGCAGCACAAACAAGCACAACUUGCUUAUUUGCCCCUUUGGCUGCAGCUCUUCUCAGAGUCUGUAUCAGAAAUGGCCAGCCUGGAAUUCAUUCCCACCCUACAAAGGCAUUUUUUGCUGACUUGUCUCUCCCUUUGCACAAUCCCCAAGUGCUUCUCUUCUUAACUGAGAGGUGGGAGAGUGAGAAGUUAAGGGCUGUUUGUUGGUUUGUUUUUCAGGACAGUCUCAUGUACUUCAGGCUGGCCUUGAACUCAAGGUGAUCCUCUUGCCUCAGCCUCCUGAGUGCUGGGUCUACAGGAGUGUGCACCACAACACACCUCACACGGAGGUUCUUGAGCCUCAGUUUUUACAUCUAUAAAAUGGGGGUGAGAACAGUACUUAUCACUUAAAGUACUGCUUAGAAAGAUUAGGAGUGUGGAGUGCUCCCACACUAACUGAGCAGCUAAAGAUGCCAGUUGUCAUUCUCAUUAUCUCAGGCCCUCGGAACAUACGAAGGCCAACAUGGGGCUGAAACAGCACAAGUGUUGGGGGACGAUGAAGGGGAAUUCGAAUUCCUGCCUCCUCCUUACUAUCCAUGUGACUUUAUAGGGCCACUCCAUCCGAGAGCUUGGUAUCACUUAUAUUUCCAGAACAUUUGGGGAAAUCGACAUAGAAUUGGCAAGCCCUCGGCCCCCCAAAUAAGGGAAUUAAUAAAUUUUUAAAAUCCAACAUUUGCUAUCACCAUUGUUUUAUAAAAGGAAAGACCCUGACCCCUGCUCCCCCGUAGGAAGGGUAUCUGCAAAUAAUGAACUUGCAACAGUAUCCUCGGUCCCCUUGUUUAUUUCCAGACUUUAGGAAUUAGUACUCAUCCCAAGCCCCAUUUUUCUCUUCUGCAACAUGGAGUAAUAACAUGCAAAUGCACCCGCACAGGAAUCUAGCCUUUGCAUAGCAGGGCCGGCCUGUUAGUCCCCCUCUGCUGUUCAGGUGACAUGGUUUACCCUCCCCUCCCCACCCAACCCUCUGCCCUUGUCUUCUGACCCUCCUGGGAGCUGAGAGAAGAAGGGACCAGAAAGAGUCACUGUGUCCAAUCUCGAAGGACUUUAUUGGUGUUGACAGGGAGCACAGGUCACAGCCUGAAGGAGUGGGAGAGAUCAGGAGUGGACACAACUCACUUCGCUUAGGAUGACUGGGGUGACUCUGCAGAAAUGGCCUGUUUUUCAUCUUUGAUCGGAGCUCUCUCCUGCCAGGCAGGGAGUGGGCCCCAGCUGGAGGGCAAGGUCUGAGGGAGGAGAUUUUACUAUCUCUGGAGACAAAAGGACUUUUGUGUGUUAUGAUCUCUGGGUGGGAUGGGGCCAGGAGAGAGGAAAGGGUUUAUUGGAAUGAGGAGAUUGUAUGGGAGAAAAAGAGAGAAUCAGGGACUAGGAGACUGAGGUAGAAGCAGACAGGGGGACAGAGUAGACCGGAAGGCACUGGAAAAGGCAGAGUGAUCCAGAAAUUGCACAGGACAAGCGGAGAAAGAGACAGCACCCUCAGGUCAACUUUGGCUUUAGAUUCUCAGUCCUGCAGCUCGGAGAGGUGUCAGGGGCCUGAAGGAAAUGCGAGGGUCCAUGGUCUCAUGGGCUGGACCCUGUGUUUGGUCCAGGAACACACAAUAUUUGUCGAAGCAGAGUAGCCACAAGCUGACCUCAGUGUUUUCUAAAACCUUGGCACUGAAAAGUGUCCAAUUCAGGGAGGGAACCACAAGCCCUCAAAGGCUGCCUGGGUUGGCUGGCAAUGGAUGAGUGAAGGUGGAUUUCGGUGGAAAGACUGUUUAACAGAUGACUUUCGUUGGAUGGAAAAUUGGGUUUGAAGGCUAAGAGUCACAAAACCAAGCUGCCAGCACUGAUCCAUGUAGCCUGACUCUCAGAGAAUCAAACUAAUUAAAGAUGCAGGUCUUUCUAACAGAGC
This is a long non-coding RNA of Heterocephalus glaber (naked mole-rat), 7898 nucleotides long. RefSeq lists it as uncharacterized. NCBI's taxonomy places the organism in Eukaryota, Metazoa, Chordata, Mammalia, Rodentia, Bathyergidae. The record is from RefSeq and is a predicted model, not a curated record.